AACGAACGCUGGCGGCAUGCCUAACACAUGCAAGUCGAACGAGACCUUCGGGUCUAGUGGCGCACGGGUGCGUAACGCGUGGGAACCUGCCCUUAGGUUCGGAAUAACUCCCCGAAAGGGGUGCUAAUACCGGAUAAUGUCUUCGGACCAAAGAUUUAUCGCCUUUGGAUGGGCCCGCGUUGGAUUAGCUAGUUGGUAGGGUACAAGCCUACCAAGGCGACGUUCCAUAGCUGGUCUGAGAGGAUGAUCAGCCACACUGGGACUGAGACACGGCCCAGACUCCUACGGGAGGCAGCAGUGGGGAAUAUUGGACAAGGGGCGAAAGCCUGAUCCAGCAAUGCCGCGUGAGUGAUGAAGGCCUUAGGGUUGUAAAGCUCUUUUACCCGGGAUGAUAAUGACAGUACCGGGAGAAUAAGCUCCGGCUAACUCCGUG
This 433-nucleotide ribosomal RNA is filed under the name uncultured bacterium. Its description in RNAcentral is "partial 16S ribosomal RNA". It matches the Rfam family "Bacterial small subunit ribosomal RNA", at positions 29 to 507 of the family's 1533-position model. The record is from RNAcentral.